CCCGGGCCUUGUACACACCGCCCGUCACAUCACGAAGGUCGGUUGCACUAGAAGUCGGUGGGCUAACCCGCAAGGGAGGCAGCCGCCUAAAGUGUGGUCGGUAAUUGGGGUG
Molecule: ribosomal RNA, 112 nt
Filed under: uncultured bacterium
Lineage: Bacteria
Description: partial 16S ribosomal RNA
Rfam family: Bacterial small subunit ribosomal RNA
Source: RNAcentral